RNAcentral lists this long non-coding RNA (1476 nucleotides) under Equus asinus (donkey). RNAcentral describes it as "lncRNA (ENSEASG00005024126.1)". Lineage: Eukaryota; Metazoa; Chordata; Mammalia; Perissodactyla; Equidae. The record is from RNAcentral.
CGGGGCCGCCCGCCUGCGGGCCUCCGGAGCUGCGGCCGCGCUGAGGGCCUGCGUGGGCUGCCGCCGCCGCCGCACGGCCGCCCGCGGCCCCGUCGUGUCCCAUGGAGCAGCUUCCCUGGGGCCGCGGGCCCCUCCCUCUGCGGAUGCCGGCCCUGCCCGCAGAGCUGAGAACCUGAGCCGCCGGAGCGGCGCUUCCGCGAGGCUCACUGUCCGUCGACCAGUCCCGGCACUUGCGGGCCCCUGGGCCGCCCAGGGGCGGUGGACAGGCCCUGCCCAGCCCGCGCGCGGACGGGAGCGGGGUUGCCGGCCUGGGCCCUUAACUCGGCGACCCGACGGAGGGGGCCCUGGGGAGGGGAGGCCGGCGGGGAGGCGCGGCACAAGGAGAAGAGCGGCCGGCGAGGGCGGCGGCUUCGGAGGCCGGGGCCGCGGCCGCAGGUCGACGCUCGGAGGCUGCGCGGCCGGUCCCGGGCGCAGGCGCCCCAGCCGGAGGCCCCGUGGCCGAAGCCGGCGAGUCCCGCCGCGGAAGGGCCCGCGCGAACCUCGGCUGUGAGCCGCAGGGCCCAGCGCUGGUCUCGGGCAGCGGAGGGGGCUAACUUCGGCGUCCUGAGGGGAGGCCCCGCGAGGCAGCCACCAGGGAAGCCUGAGGAGACGGCGCUGGGGCGCCGGGCCGGAGCGGCCCGCCCGGAGCGCGCGCGGAGCCCUGACCGCACACCCCGCGCCGCGGGCCGGGUCCGAGAGGCGAGUGGGCUGAAUCCCUGCCCUCCGGGAACGACGACGGUUGAGCUGCUUCCUAGAGGGCAAAUCUGGCAGAGGCACAGAAUUGGCAUUUUGCUUGGUAGAAAUGAAAGGAGAACGAAUUGCAAAGUAUUUAUGUUGAUGGACCAUGAAGUCGAUCAUGGAGAGGGAGAAAAUAAAGGCAACAGGUUGCUCAUGGACAGGGAAAAGUGGAAGAAUCAAUGGACUGGACAAGGUUGAAGAACUGGCCUCUUUAGGACAAAUCUGGAGGUUGAAGUCAGAAGGUGGGAUCCCAGACUGUAUUAUUUCAGAAGGCAGAGCAGUUCCUGAUGAUGAGGCUUCAGGUGUGGCCACAGAUGAAUGAGAGCAGAGAUAAAGGACUGAGAUGAAAAGGUCCAGGAACUGAGAGGCUAGGUCAUUGAAUGGCCUAUCCACACAGAUGUCUGAGUCUCUCAUAGACUCCCCCCUUCAAAAUCUCUGCCCUGGGCCCCAUCCAGCCCCUUCCCCAGCCUCCAGAGGAUCUGCAUUCACACUUCAACUUAAGCCUCAGAUCCCAAAAGGGUAACGAUGCACUGGGCCUGAAGCCAGAAUGGGGUAGUUAGAGAGGGCUCUAGUGGACAUCUGUUUUGUUUUAUUUCGUUUUGUUUUGAUGCCAGCACGCAUACAUCUUUCUGGAAAAAGUAUGUCACUGUCCUCUGGAGGAACUACCCAUUUCUUCAGUCUCAGUGCACGAGCAGGUGG